RNAcentral lists this ribosomal RNA (460 nucleotides) under uncultured bacterium. RNAcentral's name for it is "partial 16S ribosomal RNA". It matches the Rfam family "Bacterial small subunit ribosomal RNA", at positions 338 to 795 of the family's 1533-position model. The record is from RNAcentral.
CCUACGGGUGGCAGCAGUGAGGAAUAUUGGUCAAUGGGCGUAAGCCUGAACCAGCCAAGUCGCGUGAGGGAUGAAGGUUCUAUGGGUCGUAAACCUCUUUUAUAAGGGAAUAAAGAGUGGGACGUGUCCUAUUUUGGAUGUACCUUAUGAAUAAGGAUCGGCUAACUCCGUGCGAGCAGCCGCGGUAAUACGGAGGAUCCGAUCGUUAUCCGGAUUUAUUGGGUUUAAAGGGUGCGUAGGCGGCCUUUUAAGUCAGCGGUGAAAGUCUGUGGCUCAACCAUAGAAUUGCCGGUGAAACUGGGGGGCUUGAGUAUGUUUGAGGAAGGCGGAAUGCUUGGUGUAGCGGUGAAAUGCUUAGAUUUCUCGCAGAACCCCGAUUGCGAAGGCAGCCUGCCAAGCCAUGACUGACUCUGAUGCACGAAAGCGUGGGGAUCAAACAGGAUUAGAUACCCUUGUAGUC